RNAcentral lists this ribosomal RNA (253 nucleotides) under uncultured bacterium. Its description in RNAcentral is "partial 16S ribosomal RNA". It matches the Rfam family "Bacterial small subunit ribosomal RNA", at positions 524 to 776 of the family's 1533-position model. The record is from RNAcentral.
UACGAAGGGGGCUAGCGUUGUUCGGAAUUACUGGGCGUAAAGCGCGCGUAGGCGGAUCGCUAAGUCAGGGGUGAAAUCCCAGGGCUCAACCCUGGAACUGCCUCUGAUACUGGCAAUCUGGAGAUCGGGAGAGGUUGGUGGAAUUCCGAGUGUAGAGGUGAAAUUCGUAGAUAUUCGGAAGAACACCAGUGGCGAAGGCGGCUCACUGGACCGGCAUUGACGCUGAGGUGCGAAAGCGUGGGGAGCAAACAGG